Molecule: small nucleolar RNA, 127 nt
Filed under: Castor canadensis (American beaver)
Lineage: Eukaryota; Metazoa; Chordata; Mammalia; Rodentia; Castoridae
Description: Small nucleolar RNA SNORA51 (ENSCCNG00000017962.1)
Rfam family: Small nucleolar RNA SNORA51
About the family: ACA51 is a member of the H/ACA class of snoRNA that guide the sites of modification of uridines to pseudouridines.
Source: Rfam by way of RNAcentral
GGCCUCCUGGUGCUUACCACAGCUGUGUUCUCACACUGUAUAGAAAGAGGAGGCAAAGUAAAUCUACCCCAUAUGCACCUCAGCCCAGGCCGUAUGCCUGGUCUGCAUUGUGAGUGGGGAAACAUGA